Molecule: non-coding RNA, 961 nt
Organism: Peromyscus maniculatus bairdii (prairie deer mouse)
Lineage: Eukaryota; Metazoa; Chordata; Mammalia; Rodentia; Cricetidae
Source: RefSeq, a predicted model, not a curated record
GUUGGCUCUACCUCAAGCCUACAGCCUCCUCACCAGGCCUGGAGACGCAGGCACACAAGUUAGUGAGGCGAUGGAGCGACGGUAUGUCCCAUACUGUCAGGUAUAUAUAAGCAGUAAGAAGUGCUGAAAAGCAUUUUCAGACCAGCUGAACUGUCUGGAAGAAAGCCAAGCCCACCGAACUGCACAGAAAUGGUGGAGAGCAGCUGGUCUACCAGAAAAGGACACUCUGCAACCUGAAAAAGAAGGUAAGACCCGGUGCCUGAAGACACAACACACUUCAUAUACAGGAUUUGGAGGAAUGGUUAUAGAUCUGACCUGGAAGCCUCCUCCCUGAUGACCAACUCUCCUAGUAUCAGAAGAAGCUGUGCAAGCUUCCAAGGAGAAAUGCAUCCCAUAGUCCUAUCCAGCUCUGACGCCAACAUACCACAACAGUGGCCAGCACAGCAAGAUGUCAUGAGAGAUGCAACAGUGGCCCUGUCUUCUAGGGGUAACCAACAGCCACAGACUAAGACUUAACACCCACUGACGGGAAGGAAUUCAUGCCUGGCUCUGUAACUUUAGCCAAGUACUUGUGGCUGGUGAGGACAUGGAACCUGGAGGAGAACCCACUACUUCCCGCUUUCCUGAACCAGUAUAAUUCCUACUGCGUUGUAAAGACUUACAUUCUUCUACCACAGCUAAUUGUAGCUCCCCCGCCCCCAUCAAUGAGGCGUGUUUUUUUUUUCAGUAGACUAAAACAACUAGAGAAAGCCAUAACGGGUCAAAAUGAAGAGGUCAAAAUGAAGAGGUCAACUGACUGUAAGAUAACUACACCCAAUUAACGCAUUAACAAGGCACCCUGUACACCUAAGGCUCUGGGGUGGAAAGACUGCAAGAGCCGGAGGACCAAGAUGGCUGCUGCAAGAUAGAUUCUUCAAACAAGCAACACGGAGGAGGAUCUGGAAAAAGCUGGGAAGAACGG